AACGAACGCUGGCGGCAUGCCUAACACAUGCAAGUCGAACGAGACCUUCGGGUCUAGUGGCGCACGGGUGCGUAACGCGUGGGAACCUGCCCUUAGGUUCGGAAUAACUCCCCGAAAGGGGUGCUAAUACCGGAUAAUGUCUUCGGACCAAAGAUUUAUCGCCUUUGGAUGGGCCCGCGUUGGAUUAGCUAGUUGGUAGGGUAAAAGCCUACCAAGGCGACGAUCCAUAGCUGGUCUGAGAGGAUGAUCAGCCACACUGGGACUGAGACACGGCCCAGACUCCGACGGGAGGCAGCAGUGGGGAAUAUUGGACAAUGGGCGAAAGCCUGAUCCAGCAAUGCCGCGUGAGUGAUGAAGGCCUUAGGGUUGUAAAGCUCUUUUACCCGGGAUGAUAAUGACAGUACCGGGAGAAUAAGCUCCGGCUAACUCCGG
RNAcentral lists this ribosomal RNA (432 nucleotides) under uncultured bacterium. Its description in RNAcentral is "partial 16S ribosomal RNA". It matches the Rfam family "Bacterial small subunit ribosomal RNA", at positions 29 to 506 of the family's 1533-position model. The record is from RNAcentral.